Molecule: ribosomal RNA, 269 nt
Filed under: Apiotrichum porosum
Lineage: Eukaryota; Fungi; Basidiomycota; Tremellomycetes; Trichosporonales; Trichosporonaceae
Description: partial 26S ribosomal RNA
Source: RNAcentral
ACACUUCGUGAAAUUGUUGAGAGGAAAACUAAAUUCAUGAAUCAUGUUUAUUGGACUCAGCCGUUCUUCAGUGUACUUCCUUUAAACGGGUCAACAUCAGUUUUGUCCUAUGGAUAAAGGUAGUGUGAAGGUGGCUCUCUCGGGAGUGUUAUAGCCUAUUGCUGCAUACAUUGGAUGAGACUGAGGACUGCCGCUUGCCUUUCUGGCCGGAGUUCGCCCACAUGCAUGCUUACGAUGCUGACAUAACCUCGAAUCACGACCCGUCUUGA